UAGUCCACGCUGUAAACGAUGAUCACUAAGUGUUUGGCCUUCGGGUUGAGUGCUCAAGUGAAAGCGAUAAGUGAUCCACCUGGGGAGUACGCUGGCAACAGUGAAACUCAAAGGAAUUGACGGGGGCCCGCACAAGCGGUGGAGCAUGUGGUUUAAUUCGAUGAUACGCGAGGAACCUUACCAGGGCUUAAAUGCAGAACGACCGGCGUGGAAACAUGCCUUUCUUCGGACGGACUGCAAGGUGCUGCAUGGUCGUCGUCAGCUCGUGCCGUGAGGUGUCGGGUUAAGUCCCAUAACGAGCGCAACCCCUAUCUUUAGUUGCCAGCGGAUAAUNCCGGGGACUCUAGAGAAACUGCCAGCGUAAGCUGAGAGGAAGUGGGGAUGACGUCAGAUCAUCACGGCCCUUACGUCCUGGGCUACACACGUGCUACGAUGGCAAGGACAAUGAGCUGCCAACCCGCGACGGGUGAGCAAAUCUUCAAACCCUUGUACUC
Molecule: ribosomal RNA, 494 nt
Filed under: uncultured bacterium
Lineage: Bacteria
Description: bacterial SSU rRNA
Rfam family: Bacterial small subunit ribosomal RNA
Source: RNAcentral